AGAACUGAUCUAAACUACUCGGAUUCAUGUUUCUUAAUAAUAAUGGAAUUUGUUGAAUUAUGUCUCGUUUUAUAAAUUUUAGUGUAGGAAAGUACUUGGAUAUGGCCAGCUAAAAAAAUAUAACAGAAGCAGCCUAUUAGAGAGUUUAGGUAUAUGGUUUCGGACCUGAAAUGUUCUCUAAGCAAGUAAUGUUUAUUCUUAUAAUAUUGAUUUCAUCAUAUCUAACCGAAAGCACCAUGUCCAAAGAUAAUAUGUUUAAAUGAAUAAUUAAAAUUAGUGUAUCGGAUUUGUCAAUUAGAUCUAAACACGUCAUGAUGGGCAUAAUUAACUAUUACUAUAUUUUCUUAAUGCCUUUCACACUAACGUCACUUUAUUUAUAAAUUAUAAUGCAUUAAUAUACAAAGCAAUAAAUCUGUUUACCGUCGUCAAAAAAUAUAGUAAAGAGCCAAAGACAAUCCUAAAGUAAAGUCAAGUAAUUGUAUUCAAAAUCGAAAACUUAGCUUUAAUCUUUAGUAUUCAAUUCAUACCUCUUGAGGGAUUUGUGCCUCCG
Arabidopsis thaliana (thale cress) is the source of this 550-nucleotide long non-coding RNA. RefSeq annotates it as other RNA. The record is from RefSeq. The transcript has a single exon. NCBI's taxonomy places the organism in Eukaryota, Viridiplantae, Streptophyta, Magnoliopsida, Brassicales, Brassicaceae.